AGCGAACGCUGGCGGCAGGCCUAACACAUGCAAGUCGAACGAACUCUUCGGAGUUAGUGGCGGACGGGUGAGUAACACGUGGGAACGUGCCUUUAGGUUCGGAAUAACUCAGGGAAACUUGUGCUAAUACCGAAUGUGCCCUUCGGGGGAAAGAUUUAUCGCCUUUAGAGCGGCCCGCGUCUGAUUAGCUAGUUGGUGAGGUAAAGGCUCACCAAGGCGACGAUCAGUAGCUGGUCUGAGAGGAUGAUCAGCCACAUUGGGACUGAGACACGGCCCAAACUCCUACGGGAGGCAGCAGUGGGGAAUCUUGCGCAAUGGGCGAAAGCCUGACGCAGCCAUGCCGCGUGAAUGAUGAAGGUCUUAGGAUUGUAAAAUUCUUUCACCAGGGACGAUAAUGACGGUACCCGGAGAAGAAGCCCCGGCUAACUUCGUG
Molecule: ribosomal RNA, 433 nt
Filed under: uncultured bacterium
Lineage: Bacteria
Description: partial 16S ribosomal RNA
Rfam family: Bacterial small subunit ribosomal RNA
Source: RNAcentral